CCUACGGGGGGCAGCAGUAAGGAAUAUUGGUCAAUGGACGAAAGUCUGAACCAGCCAUGCCGCGUGCAGGAUGACGGCCCUAUGGGUUGUAAACUGCUUUUGUAUAGGAAGAAACCCCACUACGUGUAGUGGGCUGACGGUACUAUACGAAUAAGCACCGGCUAACUCCGUGCCAGCAGCCGCGGUAAUACGGAGGGUGCAAGCGUUAUCCGGAUUUAUUGGGUUUAAAGGGUGCGCAGGCGGAAUGAUAAGUCAGUGGCGAAAUCCUACAGCUCAACUGUAGAACUGCCAUUGAUACUGCCAUUCUAGAGUACAGUUGAAGUAGGCGGAAUGUAUCAUGUAGCGGUGAAAUGCAUAGAUAUGAUACAGAACUCCUAUAGCGAAGGCAGCUUACUAAACUGUAACUGACGCUCAGCACGAAAGCGUGGGGAGCAAACAGGAUUAGAUACCCUGGUAGUCCACGCCGUAAACGAUGAUCACUCGUUGUUGGCAACACAUCGUCAGCGACUGAACGAAAGUAUUAAGUGAUCCACCUGGGGAGUACGAUCGCAAGGUUGAAACUCAAAGGAAUUGACGGGGGCCCGCACAAGCGGAGGAGCAUGUGGUUUAAUUCGAUGAUACGCGAGGAACCUUACCUGGGCUUAAAUGCUAAACGACAUCCCGUGAAAACGGGACUUCCUUCGGGACGUUUUGCAAGGUGCUGCAUGGUUGUCGUCAGCUCGUGCCGUGAGGUGUCGGGUUAAGUCCCAUAACGAGCGCAACCCCUAUUCUUAGUUGCCAUCAGAUAAUGCUGGGGACUCUAAGGAAACUGCCUACGCAAGUAGUGAGGAAGGUGGGGAUGACGUCAAAUCAGCACGGCCCUUAUGUCCAGGGCUACACACGUGCUACAAUGGUCGGUACAGAGGGUCGCUACCUGGUGACAGGAUGCUAAUCUCAAAAACCGGUCUCAGUUCGGAUCGAAGUCUGCAACUCGACUUCGUGAAGUUGGAUUCGCUAGUAAUCGCAUAUCAGCAAUGGUGCGGUGAAUACGUUCCCGGGCCUUGUACACACCGCCCGUC
Molecule: ribosomal RNA, 1058 nt
Filed under: uncultured bacterium
Lineage: Bacteria
Description: bacterial SSU rRNA
Rfam family: Bacterial small subunit ribosomal RNA
Source: RNAcentral